This 753-nucleotide small RNA is filed under the name Histoplasma capsulatum. RNAcentral's name for it is "hypothetical RNA". The record is from RNAcentral. Lineage: Eukaryota; Fungi; Ascomycota; Eurotiomycetes; Onygenales; Ajellomycetaceae. RNAcentral also lists the same sequence under 1 other name.
GUUACUGUGUUGGAACUAAAGGUUAGAUAGAGCGUGGACUCUCUUAUCCAUACGGAGUACAGGAGGGAAUGAAAGACGAAGCAAAUCGGCCUCAGGAUUGAUAGUUCGCCACUGGCCUUUUCUUUUCCCUUUUCCUUUUUUCCUUUUCCUUUCCCCCUCUUCCUGCAAGCGAUUUAUUUGUAUGCUAUUGUCAAUGUCACUACAUCCCGUAGCGCCUGGUUGUCGAGGCUGAGUCUGGUCAAGCUUUGUCACACCCAUUUUGUUCGGAUCCUCCCUGAGACGGCAUUUCGGUGGACACUUGGACAGAGCAGUGAGAUAAAAAGAGAUGGGAAAACCUUGCCCUGACAGUGUGAGAACUUGAUAACGGGAGACAGAAUAAACAAAGUUCUGGUUUUUGUUCGGGUCGCAUGCUUAGAGUUUGCAGCAGACCAGGAACAGGUAUGUUUGGAAAUUUAUAUGUUUGUAAAUAUAAACGAUUUUGCUCGUAUUUCUUUUCCCCCACAAGAAAAUGGAUGAAUAGAUAAAUUGAUAAAUAAAUGGACGGUAAAAUAUUUCACAGAUUAGUUUCGUUAUUAUUGUCAGAAAACUAGUUAUUUAGUUUAAAAAAAGGGGACAAGGGAAGGCUUGGAGCCGCGGUGUCGGGGAUGGAGAAAAUACAUUAUUUACAUGCGAGUUACCCAUGGUCGCCGCAGAAAUAAUAGGCGGGAUGAAGUACCACUCCAUACUUACAAUGAGACCGAAUAAAAACAACAA